AGUGAACGCUGGCGGUAGGCCUAACACAUGCAAGUCGAACGGCAGCACAGUAAGAGCUUGCUCUUACGGGUGGCGAGUGGCGGACGGGUGAGGAAUACAUCGGAAUCUACUUUUUCGUGGGGGAUAACGUAGGGAAACUUACGCUAAUACCGCAUACGACCUACGGGUGAAAGCAGUGGAUCUUCGGACCUUGCGCGAUUGAAUGAGCCGAUGUCGGAUUAGCUAGUUGGCGGGGUAAAGGCCCACCAAGGCGACGAUCCGUAGCUGGUCUGAGAGGAUGAUCAGCCACACUGGAACUGAGACACGGUCCAGACUCCUACGGGAGGCAGCAGUGGGGAAUAUUGGACAAUGGGCGCAAGCCUGGUCCAGCCAUACCGCGUGGGUGAAGAAGGCCUUCGGGUUGUAAAGCCCUUUUGUUGGGAAAGAAAAGCAGCAGGUUAAUACCCCGCUGUUCUGACGGUACCCAAAGAAUAAGCACCGGCUAACUUCGUG
Molecule: ribosomal RNA, 492 nt
Filed under: uncultured bacterium
Lineage: Bacteria
Description: partial 16S ribosomal RNA
Rfam family: Bacterial small subunit ribosomal RNA
Source: RNAcentral